CCUACGGGGGGCAGCAGUGAGGAAUAUUGGUCAAUGGGCGUAAGCCUGAACCAGCCAAGUCGCGUGAGUGAUGAAGGUUCUAUGGAUCGUAAACCUCUUUUAUAAGGGAAUAAAGAGUGGGACGUGUCCUGUUUUGUAUGUACCUUAUGAACAAGGAUCGGCUAACUCCGUGCCAGCAGCCGCGGGAAUACGGAGGAUCCGAGCGUUAUCCGGAUUUAUUGGGUUUAAAGGGUGCGUAGGCGGCCUUUUAAGUCAGCGGUGAAAGUCUGUGGCUCAACCAUAGAAUUGCAGUUGAAACUGGAAGGCUUGAGUAUGGUAGAGGCAGGCGGAAUGCGUGGUGUAGCGGUGAAAUGCUUAGAUAUCACGCAGAACCCCGAUUGCGAAGGCAGCCUGCCAAGCCAUGACUGACGCUGAUGCACGAAAGCGUGGGGAUCAAACAGGAUUAGAUACCCUUGUAGUC
Molecule: ribosomal RNA, 460 nt
Filed under: uncultured bacterium
Lineage: Bacteria
Description: partial 16S ribosomal RNA
Rfam family: Bacterial small subunit ribosomal RNA
Source: RNAcentral